RNAcentral lists this unclassified non-coding RNA (1921 nucleotides) under Bombyx mandarina (wild silkworm). RNAcentral describes it as "myocardin-related transcription factor A-like, transcript variant X5". The record is from RNAcentral. Lineage: Eukaryota; Metazoa; Arthropoda; Insecta; Lepidoptera; Bombycidae.
AUCCCUUAAAAUAUUGAAAUUUCAGGCAUGUGUCAAACAGUGUAUUAUUUGUUUAUCUAACUCAUAGACCUAGGUUUCCUACUUCAGUGAUCUAACUACUGUAGUGGCAAAUGCCUGCAUGUUGUCAAAAUUGAGACAGUCUUAUUUAAAGGCAUUUUUAGGUAUAAUUAUUAAUAAAUUUGUAAUCUUCGUUUUUAUAUUACAGUACACAAAAAUGCCACCAAUACUAUCUAAGGAAGAAAAAAGACAGAAGAAAAAAAUUGCAGAACGUAUUAGGAUGGAAAACAUACGGAAAGAUCCAGAAAAGUAUGCUUUAUGGCGAGUUAAAAUGCAAGAAUCCUAUUUAAAAAGAAAGAGAGAAGGUAAGAUUCUUUCAGUUAGCAAUUUAACGCCUAGAGAACAAAAAAAUCAAAGAAAAAAGAGUAGAGAAAGCUCAAAAAAAUCGUACUACAAAAAGAAAUUAAAAGAACAGACAGAAAAACAAAUUGUUGAUGUAGUUAGCAAUGCAAAUAUUAUUAUGAGCGACCCUUUUAGUUUGACUCCAAAGAGAGAAGAAGAAAUCUCAAGUCCAUCUAGGCCGAUAAAAUCGCCUUCACCGCCAACACCAGCAUCAGUCCCGAUUAGAUCUCUCUGGGUGCGUUCCCCAAUAACUCCUGAACCAGAUUCAGCGAUUUCUUUACAACUACAGUCCCCAAUAUCUCCAAAACCUGAUUCAAAAAGAUUUCUUCAGGUAUAUAGUCCAACAAGUUCCAUAUCUGACUCACCCAGAUCACUCAGUCCACAAAGCAAUACCUCAAUUACUGGUAUACCUACUCACAUUGAAAACCCAAAAUGUGUACAAACUGCUCAACAAAAAAUAUCUGCGAAGAAGAAAUCUCCCUGGAAACAUCUCUUAUGCAAAUAUAUAUACCGAUACCGCGCAGAGCUACGAAUCAAAGACCAACAAAUUCGAGACCUUAAAAGAAUGAAUGAGAACUAUAAAAAGUUGUUACAGCGAUGGCAUAGAUUUAGAAAGUUCAAAAAUGCACACAACCAACAUGAACAAAAAAUACAAGAGAUAGACGUGUCUGAAAAUAAGAAAUUACACUUUGAGUCGAUUUGUAGUAAAGCUAAAGAAGACAUUAUAAUUUUUUUAGAAGAAGACGAAAAUAGCAGGAUUUGUCCAGGAAAAAACGAAUUUGUAUCAAAAGGAAAAAUAAAAAAACAGAAACGAUAUCUCACAGACUCUUUAAAAAAUUUACACAAAAAGUACAUUGCCACUUCUCAAUACAAGAUAAGCUAUAGCAGUUUUUGUAAGCUCCGACCAUUUUGGAUUCGCAUAGCAAGCGUGAAUAUUCGAGACACCUGCUUAUGUAAGGUUCAUGAGAACAUGGAACUGGUGGUAACAGCUUUACGAAAAAAAUAAUCUUAUUGAAGAGAAAUCCACUACCCAAAUCCUACAAUCUUUGUGUUGCGAUAGCAGAAUUGGUGAUUGUUUGUCCAGAAAUUGUGUACUGUGCAAAGAUAAACAAAUAACUUUUAAGGAAUUUGAUAACUCUAAAGAGACUGGACUUGGAAAAAGGUUUGAUUUUUAUUACAUGAUGUCAAUCCUUCAAGGUGAAAAAAGUACACUUAAACUUUUAGUUAUUAUGUUUUGUUGCUGCUUGAAGAAUGCAGUCCGUGGGAGUAACCCAGAAAAACGAAUAUGUUAACAAGGCCGCCGAAGCGGUACAGCUGGUGUUCAGGGGUACUACCUUAGCCUCAAACCAAUGUGCUUGUUUACAGCCAAACUAAUACCCAGAGUUUGCGAGUAUUCAACUGUCAGCAAAAUUUAAUUUUUAACCCUUGACUUUGGUAAUAGUUUUACUCUCAUAAUCAACAAUCCAAGUUUCAGAAAUAGAUUCGAGUUAAUAUAAUUUUUUAUAAAUACAUUGUUUGCCUA